This 253-nucleotide ribosomal RNA is filed under the name uncultured bacterium. RNAcentral describes it as "partial 16S ribosomal RNA". It matches the Rfam family "Bacterial small subunit ribosomal RNA", at positions 524 to 776 of the family's 1533-position model. The record is from RNAcentral.
UACGUAGGGUGCAAGCGUUGUCCGGAAUUAUUGGGCGUAAAGAGCUCGUAGGCGGUCUGUCGCGUCGGCUGUGAAAUCCCGGAGCUCAACUCCGGGUCUGCAGUCGAUACGGGCAAACUGGAGUACUGCAGGGGAGACUGGAAUUCCUGGUGUAGCGGUGAAAUGCGCAGAUAUCAGGAGGAACACCGGUGGCGAAGGCGGGUCUCUGGGCAGUAACUGACGCUGAGGCUCGAAAGCAUGGGGAGCAAACAGG